RNAcentral lists this ribosomal RNA (482 nucleotides) under uncultured bacterium. RNAcentral describes it as "bacterial SSU rRNA". It matches the Rfam family "Bacterial small subunit ribosomal RNA", at positions 1 to 526 of the family's 1533-position model. The record is from RNAcentral.
ACUAGCAGUAAGAGUUUGAUCAUGGCUCAGAACGAACGCUGGCGGCAUGCCUAACACAUGCAAGUCGAACGAGACCUUCGGGUCUAGUGGCGCACGGGUGCGUAACGCGUGGGAAUCUGCCCUUAGGUUCGGGAUAACUCGGGGAAACUUGAGCUAAUACCGGAUGAUGUCUUCGGACCAAAGAUUUAUCGCCUAAGGAUGAGCCCGCGUAGGAUUAGCUUGUUGGUGAGGUAAAAGCUCACCAAGGCGACGAUCCUUAGCUGGUCUGAGAGGAUGAUCAGCCACACUGGGACUGAGACACGGCCCAGACUCCUACGGGAGGCAGCAGUGGGGAAUAUUGGACAAUGGGCGCAAGCCUGAUCCAGCCAUGCCGCGUGAGUGAAGAAGGCCCUAGGGUUGUAAAGCUCUUUCAGCGGGGACGAUAAUGACGGUACCCGCAGAAGAAGCCCCGGCUAACUUCGUGCCAGCCGCCGCGGUAAUUC